GCGGCCUACAAUGCAGUCGAGCGGUACAGGGGUAGCUUGCUACCCGCUGACGAGCGGCGGACGGGUGAGUAAUGCAUAGGAAUCUGCCCGAUAGUGGGGGAUAACCUGGGGAAACCCAGGCUAAUACCGCAUACGUCCUACGGGAGAAAGGGGGCUCCGGCUCCCGCUAUUGGAUGAGCCUAUGUCGGAUUAGCUAGUUGGUGAGGUAAAGGCUCACCAAGGCGACGAUCCGUAGCUGGUCUGAGAGGAUGAUCAGCCACAUCGGGACUGAGACACGGCCCGAACUCCUACGGGAGGCAGCAGUGGGGAAUAUUGGACAAUGGGCGAAAGCCUGAUCCAGCCAUGCCGCGUGUGUGAAGAAGGCCCUCGGGUUGUAAAGCACUUUCAGCGAGGAAGAACGCCUAGUGGUUAAUACCCAUUAGGAAAGACAUCACUCGCCCACCAAGCACCGGCUAACUCCGUGCCAGCAGCCGCGGUAAUACGGAGGGUGCAAGCGUUAAUCGGAAUUACUGGGCGUAAAGCGCGCGUAGGUGGCUUGAUAAGCCGGUUGUGAAAGCCCCGGGCUCAACCUGGGAACGGCAUCCGGAACUGUCAAGCUAGAGUGCAGGAGAGGAAGGUAGAAUUCCCGGUGUAGCGGUGAAAUGCGUAGAGAUCGGGAGGAAUACCAGUGGCGAAGGCGGCCUUCUGGACUGACACUGACACUGAGGUGCGAAAGCGUGGGUAGCAAACAGGAUUAGAUACCCUG
Molecule: ribosomal RNA, 745 nt
Filed under: Halomonas sp. MB-30
Lineage: Bacteria; Pseudomonadati; Pseudomonadota; Gammaproteobacteria; Oceanospirillales; Halomonadaceae
Description: bacterial SSU rRNA
Rfam family: Bacterial small subunit ribosomal RNA
Source: RNAcentral